ACGAAAAUAUCAUGAAACCAAAAAAAUAUGAAAAAGAAAAUACAAAUGAUGCCAGUGCUGAAUAAAGAAAAUUCUACAGUCUCUCUGUGCGCUUCGGCAUCUCCGUGCACGGAUGCGUUGUUAAAAAAUGUGUAGUGGAAACGAGCGCACCUUAAAUCAUUUGAUGAGCAAACAGAUAAAUAAUGUUCCACAAUGAAAGUCGCAAAGAAAGAUAAAAACUUAAAGGAGUAUUGUAGAUGAGGAAUGGGCAGGGGAGCCGACUAAUAGGAGGAAAAAUGUGAAUGGCUGAAAGUAUAUACGCGCAGGUAGCCGAGAAAGAAACAGGACGAAUGGAAGAGGAAAUGAAAUGGAGCAAGAAAAAUUGCCACGGCAACUGCCAACCAGGUAAAUACCAACAACAAUAAAAUGGCAACCAAAGUGGAGACACAAGCCAACAGCGGCGAAUAAAGGGAGAGUUGUGCAACUUGGUAACGCUCAAGAGCUUUGAGACACGAAGCAAGCGCGCCAAACCAAUAUUAGUGUGCAGGUGUGAGUAACGGUAUUUUACCCGCGCAGCUCUCGUUGACGAAUGUUGUAACAUUUUCAUGACGACAGCAAUGGCAACAUGGCGAUGGUCGGUGGAUCCAUACUCUGCAAGGACACUGCUUGGCGGAACAGUUAGACAAGCAACGGGUGCAGAAAAGUGUUGGCAAUUUCUUGUUGGAAAAUUGCUCAGGCUAAGAGUCGCUGGAAAGUUUCUAUCUGGGUGGUGUUGUAAGUCAAAGCCAAAGCAAGCAGUAGCUGGUAGUACGAAUUGUCGAAACGAAACAAAAUUAACGGCAGUUAAGAACCACCGACUAGCAGCAAUGGAGGAAAUAAAUAACGAGCAAAAUAUCGUGGCUGGCAUAAUGGCUGGAAACUUACGAGCUGUUGAAAUGGAAUGGCAUGUAAUGCUGGAUCUGUGAAAACAAGAAUAAUAUCUGCAUUUGAGAAUGCAAGAUGAGUUUGUAUGUGUAUGGGUGUAAGUACAAACAGAAUUGAUCGGCGCUUACGGAAAAUAGUCUUAUUAGUUGCCGACGUAACUAUGGGAACAGGCUGAAUUUUUUGUGCAAGAGGUUCAAUAUUUCCGAUUUUAAUAAUAUUAUAUUUUAGGUGAAAAUUUAAAAGCUGUAGAUAAAAACAAAAAACUAUGUGACAAUUUUUUAACAACUUAAGGAUGUUUAAAACUAUGCAAUCUAUUUGGAUAUAUAGAAAAUGCGGAUGACACCCGAAAAUGUGCUUUCAGAGUGUAAUAUUUCUUAGACGACUAAAUGACAUAUUAAGAAUAAAAUAUGGAAAUUACUGUGUGACAGGUUAA
Molecule: non-coding RNA, 1336 nt
Organism: Bactrocera oleae (olive fruit fly)
Lineage: Eukaryota; Metazoa; Arthropoda; Insecta; Diptera; Tephritidae
Source: RefSeq, a predicted model, not a curated record